GGACAUGGGAUCUACAUGGGAUUUACAUGGGAUGGACACGGGAUCUACAUGGGAAGGCCACAGGAAGGACAUGGGAUGGACAUGGAAAGGACAUGGGAUCUACACGCAACAUGGGAUGGACACGGGAUCUACAUGGGACAUGGGAAGGACAUGGGAUGGACACGGGAGGGACACGGGAAGGACAUGGGAUCUACAUGGGAUUUACAUGGGAUCUACGAUGGACACAGGAGGGACACAGGAGGGACAUGGGAGGCACAUGGGAUCUACAUGGGACACGGGAUGGACAUAGGACAUGGGAUGGACACGGGAUGGACACGGGAUGGACAUGGGAGGGACAUGGGAUCUACAUGGGACACGGGAUGGACAUAGGACACGGGAUGGACACAGGAUGGACAUGGGAGGGACAUGGGAUCUACACGGGACAUGGGAUGGACACGGGAUGGACACGGGAGGGACAUGGGAUCUACAUGGGACAUGGGAAGGACAUGGGAUGGACACAGGACAUGGGAAGGACACAGGAUAGACACUGGAAGGACAUGGGAGGGACAUGGGAAGGACACGGAAGGACAUGGGAGGGACACAGGAUCUACAUGGGACAUGGGAUGGACAUGGGAUCUACAUAGGAUGGACAUGGGAUGGACAUGAGACAUGGGAUGGACACUGGAAGGACAUGGGAGGGACAUGGGAGGGACACGGGAUCUACAUGGGACACGGGUUGGACACGGGAUGGACAUGGGAGGGACAUGGGAAGGCCAUGGGAUCUACAUGGGACACAGGAUGACACGGGAGGGACAUGGGAGGGACAUGGGAGGGACAUGGGACAUAGGAUGGACACAGGAUGGACACAGGAUCUACAUGGGACAUGGGAAGGACAUGGGAUGGACACAGGAUGGACAUGGGAUGGACAUGGGAGGGACACGGGAGGGACAUAGGACAUGGGAAGGACAUGGGAUGUACAUGGAAUAUGGGAAUGACACGGGAUGGACACAGGACAUGGGAAGGACAUGGGAUGGACACGGGAAGGACAUGGGAUCUACAUGGGACAUGGGUUGGACAUGGGAGGGACAUGGGAUCUACACGGGAUGGACACAGGAUGGACACGGAAUCUACAUGGGACAUGGGAAGGACACAGGAUGGACAUGGGAUGGACAUGGGAUCUACAUGGGACAUGGGAAGGACACAGGAUGGACACGGGAGGGACAUGGGAUCUACACGGGAUGGACACGGGAUGGACACGGGAUCUACAUGGGACAUGGGAUGGACACGGGAGGGACACGGGAUCUACAUGGGAGGGACACAGGACAAAGGCAGCACCAAGGGAGGGGGGGGAAGGGGGCGACACGUGAAGGACACGGGACGGACACGCGAGUGACGUGAGACGGACGCGGAAAGAAAGACCAGGCAGCCGACACGGGAUGAACAUGGGAUCGACAUGUAUUGACACGGGACGGAGCAUGGACACAGGAUCUACAUGGGAUGGACACGGGACACGGGAGGGACACAGGAUGCACAGGGAAUGGACAUGGGAUGGACAUGGGAUCUACAUGGAAUAUGGGAAUGACACGGGAUGGACACAGGACAUGGGAAGGACAUGAGAUGGACACAGGAAGGACAUGGGAGGGACAUGGGAAGGACACAGGAUCUACAUGGGACAUGGGAGGGACACGGGAUCUACAUGGGAAGGACACAGGAUCUACAUGGGAUUUACAUGGGCUCUACGAUGGACACGGGAAGGACACAGGAGGGACAUGGGACAUGGGAGGGACACGGGAAGGACACGGAAUCUACAUGGGACAUAGGAAGGACAUGGGAUGGACACAGGAUGGACAUGGGAAGGACAUGGGAAGGACACGGAAGGACAUGGGAUCUACACAGGACAUGGGAGGGACAGGG
This 1893-nucleotide long non-coding RNA is filed under the name Calidris pugnax (ruff). RNAcentral describes it as "lncRNA (ENSCPUG00000008989.1)". Lineage: Eukaryota; Metazoa; Chordata; Aves; Charadriiformes; Scolopacidae. The record is from RNAcentral.